Non-coding RNA from Salmo salar (Atlantic salmon), 450 nucleotides. Lineage: Eukaryota; Metazoa; Chordata; Actinopteri; Salmoniformes; Salmonidae. The record is from RefSeq and is a predicted model, not a curated record.
GAGAAAUCACGCCUCAUGUGCCGUGAUGGGAGCGGGAAAGAGGAGAAGAGCCUCUUGUAGGUUUUAUUCCGGGGCAAACCGUGGAGAUUGCAAGGAGAGGGGAGAACAAUUCGCCUACCUCAUCAGUCGCCUUUGUGGGAAGACAGCAUUCGUGGUGCAAGUCAGCAUUGCAAGGAGGACACUAUGUUUAUCAAUUUCUUUGGAAGAGGAGAAGGAGAGGGAGGAAAAGAAGAAGACAAAAGAGAAUACGGGAAUGAGAGAGAGAGAGAAAAGGAACAGGCUUAUGCCCCUUUUGGUCUCCAAGGAGGAGGAUCUUCAUUAACCCCCAGGAAAGAAGCAGAGGACACAGGAAGAAAGGAGGAGAGAGGAAGAGAGGAGAGAGCAGGGCAGAUCGGGGGAGAGGGCCACAGAGCAAUCACAGACCUCAUUAUGAACACUGAAAGACCUGGC